CUGGCGGCGUGCCUAAUACAUGCAAGUCGAACGGUCUUUCUAUGGAAGCUUGCUUCCACUGAGAAGAUAGUGGCGAACGGGUGAGUAACACGUGGGUAACCUGCCCAUAAGAGGGGGGAUAACAUCCGGAAACGGGUGCUAAUACCGCAUAGUUUUCUUGAUCGCAUGAUUGAGAAAGGAAAGAUGGCCUUUGUGCUGUCGCUUAUGGAUGGACCCGCGGCGUAUUAGUUAGUUGGUGAGGUAACGGCUCACCAAGACGAUGAUACGUAGCCGACCUGAGAGGGUGAUCGGCCACAUUGGGACUGAGACACGGCCCAAACUCCUACGGGAGGCAGCAGUAGGGAAUUUUCGGCAAUGGGGGAAACCCUGACCGAGCAAACCGCCGCGUGAACGACGAAGUACUUCGGUAUGUAAAGUUCUUUUAAGAGGGAAGAAUGGCCCGUGGAAAAGCGGGCGUGACGGUACCUUUUGAAUAAGCCCCGGCUAACUAUGUGCCAGCAGCUGC
This 505-nucleotide ribosomal RNA is filed under the name uncultured bacterium. RNAcentral describes it as "bacterial SSU rRNA". It matches the Rfam family "Bacterial small subunit ribosomal RNA", at positions 36 to 518 of the family's 1533-position model. The record is from RNAcentral.